This 340-nucleotide ribosomal RNA is filed under the name uncultured eukaryote. RNAcentral's name for it is "SSU rRNA". It matches the Rfam family "Eukaryotic small subunit ribosomal RNA", at positions 1471 to 1801 of the family's 1831-position model. The record is from RNAcentral.
CCUUAGAUGCCCUGGGCUGCACGCGCGUUACACUGACGAUUGCAACGAGUGAUUUGUCCUUGCCCGAUGGGGCUGGGUAAGCUUUGAAAAGAUCGUCGUGAUGGGGAUUGAACCUUGCAAUUAUUGUUCAUGAACGAGGAAUUCCUAGUAAGCGCAGUUCAUCAAACUGCGCUGAUUACGUCCCUGCCCUUUGUACACACCGCCCGUCGCUCCUACCGAUUGAAUGGUCCGGUGAGAACUCAGGACGGCAGUACUUUAGUUUAUCCGCAAGGGUAAGCGGGUACAGUCGGAAUUUGUUCAAACCUUACCAUUUAGAGGAAGGAGAAGUCGUAACAAGGUU